UUCGACGCAACGCGCAGAACCUUACCUGGGCUUGACAUCCCGAUCGCACUUUCUGGAAACAGAGAGGUCAGUUCGGCUGGAUCGGUGACAGGUGCUGCAUGGCUGUCGUCAGCUCGUGUCGUGAGAUGUUGGGUUAAGUCCCGCAACGAGCGCAACCCUCGUCCUUAGUUGCCAGCAUUAAGUUGGGCACUCUAAGGAGACUGCCGGUGUUAAACCGGAGGAAGGCGGGGAUGGCGUCAAGUCCUCAUGGCCCUUAUGUCCAGGGCUACACACGUGCUACAAUGGCCGGUACAAAGGGUAGCAAGACCGCGAGGUGGAGCCAAUCCCAAAAAGCCGGUCUCAGUUCGGAUUGGAGUCUGCAACUCGACUCCAUGAAGUUGGAAUCGCUAGUAAUCGUGGAUCAGCAUGCCACGGUGAAUACGUUCCCGGGCCUU
Molecule: ribosomal RNA, 434 nt
Filed under: uncultured Desulfuromonas sp.
Lineage: Bacteria; Pseudomonadati; Thermodesulfobacteriota; Desulfuromonadia; Desulfuromonadales; Desulfuromonadaceae
Description: bacterial SSU rRNA
Rfam family: Bacterial small subunit ribosomal RNA
Source: RNAcentral